CCCUUAGAUGUCCUGGGCCGCACGCGCGCUACACUGAUGCAUGCAACGAGUUUAUAACCUUGGCCUGAAAGGUCUGGGUAAUCUUUUGAACGUGCAUCGUGAUAGGGAUAGAUUAUUGCAAUUGUUAAUCUUGAACGAGGAAUUCCUAGUAAACGCGAGUCAUCAGCGCGCAUUGAUUACGUCCCUGCCCUUUGUACACACCGCCCGUCGCACCUACCGAUUGAAUGGUUCGGUGAAGAUCUCGGACUUCGAUAUUUAUUCUUUAUUGAGUUUAUAUUGUGGGAAGUUAUCUAAACCUCAUCAUUUAGAGGAAGGAGAAGUCGUAACA
RNAcentral lists this ribosomal RNA (328 nucleotides) under uncultured eukaryote. RNAcentral's name for it is "partial 18S ribosomal RNA". It matches the Rfam family "Eukaryotic small subunit ribosomal RNA", at positions 1470 to 1796 of the family's 1831-position model. The record is from RNAcentral.